This 256-nucleotide ribosomal RNA is filed under the name uncultured bacterium. RNAcentral describes it as "partial 16S ribosomal RNA". It matches the Rfam family "Bacterial small subunit ribosomal RNA", at positions 524 to 776 of the family's 1533-position model. The record is from RNAcentral.
UACAGAGGGUGCAAGCGUUGUCCGGAAUUAUUGGGCGUAAAGAGCUCGUAGGUGGUUUGUCGCGUUGUCCGUGAAAAACUCACAACUCAAUUGUGGGCGUGCGGGCGAUACGGGCAGACUGGAGUACUGCAGGGGGAGACUGGAAUUCCUGGUGUAGCGGUGGAAUGCGCAGAUAUCAGGAGGAACACCGAUGGCGAAGGCAGGUCACUGGGCCGCAACUGACGCUGAGGAGCGAAAGCAUGGGGGAGCGAACAGG